GCUCAGUGUGGGGUUUUUUUAGCAUUUAAACACCAAAUGCUAUCAUAUGAUACUUAUUAUAUCUUGUUAAUGAUGUCUUUCCCUUUAGAUGGCAAGCUCCAAGAUGACAUGGACAGUUUGUUUCUUUCUUGCUCAUGGCAGAAUCCCCAGUGUCUAGCUCUGUGCCUGUGACUAGUAGAUGCUCAAUAAAUAUUUCCUGAGCGAAUGAAGAAAGGAAUAAAUGUCGUGAAGGAAAACAAACCAGGCUGUACCAUAACCUUAUGAGCUUAUAAGACAAAAGUGGAUUCUGGAAUUUGGGUGCUAGAGUCUUCAACCCAAAAUCAGAGGACUGCUGGACAGCUACUGAGGCUGGACUCUAGAUAGCCAUUUGAGUGGCCAACUUUCUGCAGGUUUUAUUUUGAAGACAUGCCACAAGCUAGUGACUCCAAACCUUUAGAUGUGAUGGAACCUCUUUAAGAUACUGCCUGACCCACAGAAUUCUGUGUAUAUGUGCACUUUGCGGGGAACCUGAAACUCUGCUGGAAGCCUCAAGGGAUCAGUGAGACAGGCAGGGGAGAGGGAAGCACGGAAGCACAGAGGCAACAUGAAGGGGAAAUAAGAAAUGAUUUGGCCACUGAGAGUAACUGCAGCAGCUUUGGAGAAGCCCAGCCAUGUGUGAAGAGACUGGUGCACCUGAGAAUCGAGGCAGAAGCCUGGGAACGUUUUAGGACCAGAUGCCACCCAAACCACAGGGUGCGGUGAUGAUAAAGACUGCAGGGGCCUGGGGUGAGUCAGUGGUCUGGGGG
RNAcentral lists this long non-coding RNA (785 nucleotides) under Aotus nancymaae (Ma's night monkey). Its description in RNAcentral is "lncRNA (ENSANAG00000038579.1)". The record is from RNAcentral. Lineage: Eukaryota; Metazoa; Chordata; Mammalia; Primates; Aotidae.